Molecule: ribosomal RNA, 253 nt
Filed under: uncultured bacterium
Lineage: Bacteria
Description: partial 16S ribosomal RNA
Rfam family: Bacterial small subunit ribosomal RNA
Source: RNAcentral
UACGAAGGGGGCUAGCGUUGCUCGGAAUCACUGGGCGUAAAGGGUGCGUAGGCGGGUCUUUAAGUCAGGGGUGAAAUCCCCGGGCUCAACCCGGGAACUGCGUCCGAUACUGGAAGGCUUGAAUCCGGGAGAGGGAUGCGGAAUUCCAGGUGUAGCGGUGAAAUGCGUAGAUAUCUGGAGGAACACCGGUGGCGAAGGCGGCAUCCUGGACCGGUAUUGACGCUGAGGCGCGAAAGCCAGGGGAGCAAACGGG